GCUGAAAGCACCUGAGCUGGAGGAGCUUAGAAGGGCUUCAGCUGUCGGCGGCCAUCUUGAAAGAAAGAAAGAAAGACCGAUUCUGGAACAGCCAAUUAUAAAUUGCCUUCAUGAAGGGUAUCAGUGGAUUCUUCCUCUGUGGGACCUUCUCUCUGCCUGAGGAUCAAUCUGGAAGACUUUUGGAAGAAGUGGAACUUAAGGAAGAUUUCUGAGGAAAAUGUAUUAAAACAUGGAGAAUGUCACAAAAAGUUUCUAGGCAUAACAGAUUACAUGGCAGAUGGAAGAGGAAAGUUGGAGGUGCAGCUCCUUUUAUAAUAGCUAUUCAGCACCAUCUAGUUAAAGGUGUCCUGGCUAGAGUUCUUCCCUACCCCAGCAGGACCAAUUUCAGAGGAAAGCAGAUGUCUGUAAAACUGAUUCUGACAACAAUUUGGAUUAGGGUUUUCUUUGAUAUACAGAAGACAAAAUUAAUUCAGGAUAAAUGGUUAUUGAUUUUCAUGAACUAUCCACUUAAUAAGUAAAAGUCUGGUUCUCCUUAGUAAUCAACUGAUCAAUCCAGUCAACAGAUCUAGUUGCUUUCAAUUUUUUAUUGGGAAUGGUAUCUUGGUUCUGUGAGGUUCCUUCUGGGGCAAUAGUUAUAGCAUAUUCUAGGGCUGUGUGAAGCUUCAGGUGCUGAUUUGGUGGCUGAAUCUCCGAAUUGAAUCAGGAGACCAAUAAAAGGUCUGAAUCAAUUCAAAGCUCUCCGAAUCGAUUUGGAAAAGAUUCGGAGAGAUUUGGGCAGUCCCCACUCACCACCGCAGGGAGCUGGAUCCAGACUCUAUGCUGGUAAGUGUGUGUGUGUGUGUGUGUGUGUGGUGGUGGGGGACUGGAGGAGUGGGCAGGGGACCAUGGGGGGACCCCCACCAGGCCCCAUCCCUUGCCUGCUCCCCCAGCCCCCCGAGCAACCCCGACUGCUCUCCCAGCACCGUCAAUGGCUGCCCUGCCUGGCCCCAGCAUCCCGGCUCCUUAAAAAAAAGGGGGGAAAAAAAAGCCCUGCAAUCACUGGCUCCUGCCAGGGCCAGGGGGAGGGGGGGCAAUCCCUGCUGCCCCCCACUGUUCCAUGCUGUGUGGGGGAGCUCUGCCACGAGUCCCCAACCCCCUCGAUAGCCGCUGCAGCGGCUGAUGAGUGCGGGGCUUUUUUUUUAAAGAGCUGGGAUGCUGGGGCUGGGCGAGGCUGCCAUUGACAGGACUGGGAGAGCAGGUGGGGGAUGAGGCCUGUUUGAUUCGGAGAUUCGCCCAAUUUGGCGGUGGCCAAAUCUCCAAAUCAGAUUUGGCUAAUCAAUUUGGGACAGUGAUUCAAAUCACUGAAUCAAAACACUGUCCUCCGAAUCGGCCAAAUCCAAAUCUGAUGAGAAUACUAGCCGCUUUGCACAGUCCUAGCAUAUUUCCGUUUUAAUUUUUAAAAAAGAAAAUUGAAUUUUAUUUCAUAAAUUUUGGUUCUUUUAAAUUUUGGUUUAUUUCAAAUUUUGGUUCUUCUCUAAGUCUUUUAAAGACUCAGUAACAGUAAAAUAAUUUUACAUUUGAAAUACAGAUUUAACUUUUUUCAGUUUGUCUAGUUGGAUAAACUCAUGACUUGUGAGUUGCAUAAUUGUAUUCACACUGGCUUCAUCAACAUGAGACACUAUCACGGAGUAGCUUGUUGCUAUUGCGCAGUAGUGUUGGGCGUACUAACCGUGAUGCGAUGCUACUGCACAUAGCAUCAGAAAAAAACCGUGCAGGGAUGCUGCUGUGCAGUAAUGCUGGUUACUGUGUAGUCAUUUAGUACCUGGUUAUGCAAGUACUAAAUGACUGUACAGUAACAACUGUGCAGUGCGCUGCUCAUGUAGACAUGGCCACUGAAUAGUUAUGUUGGAACACUGCAAAACCUAUGCAAAUGGUACUAAACAAAAGCCCUUCCUGGGAUCUGGAAAUGUUUAGUGUUGUAAUCUGACCUUUACUGAAGAUACGCUGUGCAUAUCAAUCUAUAAAACAUACCCAGUAAGUAGAGACCUACCAAAUUAAUGGCAAAAGUGGGGUGGGCUGUGGCUCCUUUAAUUUUGCAGGUUCCCCCCUUCCCACUGAUUGGUGUAGGGGCCCUGCUUGCAGCUUGCUCCUGAUCAGUGGGGAGGUGAAAACUGAGGUUUUAAAUAUGGUGCCAUUUUUGCCUCCCCUCCCGAUUGGCUGAGGGGCCCUGAAUGGCCUUGCUGCUGACUGGUGGGGAGGCAAAAACAGUGCCAUGUUUAAAACAGCAGUUUUACCUUCCCUGCUGAUCAAGGCAUGAUGGGUUCCUCUGCUAAUCAGCAGCAGAUGGGGGGGGGGGAAGGGGGGGAAACGGACAAGGUACGUAUGUGGGAACAUGCAAGACUAAAGGAGCCACUGUGCAAUCUACUUCCACCAUGAAUUCAUUAGGUCCCUACCAGUAAGUAAUGCUUUAAAGCCUAGUAUUCUGAUCAAUUUUACUUCCUGGUUCUGCUUUUGCACAUAGUAUUAGCAUAUUGGCAAAAAUAACUUUUCCUUCCCCCAAGAGAACAUCAGGUAAGCAAAGGCUAUUUCCAUGUUUCUACCCACUAGUGUCUUUGGAUCUGACCCUAUAUUAUUGGCACAGGCAAAAUUCAGAGAUUCUACUGAAAGUUUUGGUGGUAGAAGCACAGAAUUAGAUUGCUAGUGUUUGUAAGGCAGUGCCUGAUUUUUUUGAUUACUCACAGUAAGAUCCUAGUCACUUAGGACACCUAUAAUACAUGUGCAGGGAGGCUGCUCCGAUGCACUUUAAUUGCAGUGCAUCAGAGCAAAAUCAAUAGAGUUGGCUGGAGUGUCCAGCAGACUCCAGCAUCAUGUGCAUGUGUCCCUGUGCUGAAAAAUAGUGCUAGGGGUGCUUUAACUAAAGAAAGAGCCCCUGCCACUUUUCAAUGUGGAGAUGCCGAUACAUGUGAGGCUUUGAGAGCUGCUUUAAUUAAAGCACCCCAACUCCCAGAACACAUCUAUAAAUGCCCUUAAAUGCUGCAUACAGUAACUUUUGUUUUAAAAGAGGCUUUAACUCAGCAAGCUAUUAAUGCCUAGUCACUUUUACAGAGUUUAUAGUUAAAAGACAAGUCUUUUUCCAUUUGAAGUAUUCUUUGCAUACAUUUUGUCGUGAGUUCUGUUAAAAUAGUAUUGGUCAAGGACAGCGUUAAAAAAAAAAAAAAAAAAUCAGUGGGAAAAAAUAAGGCCUUGAUUUUUAGGUUUUUUGGGGGGCUAUCCAGUUUCCAAACUUUCCUUUCUAAAACUGAGAAAGAGAAACCUUUUUCCUUAUUAUUUCUUUUCUGGGAAUGAACUUUCCUUAGUUCUCUAAGGCUUAGGCAGGAAGUUUCAGUUUGAUUAAGAGGUUCCAGGGCUGGGUUAUGCUCCUUUUAUAACUUCACCCAGAUAACUGUUGCCAAAACUGGACUGAAAAAAUAAAUUCCUAACAAAAAAUGUUUAGCUGCAUUGUCUUAUUUCAACAGCUUAGUCUGUAGAUGGAUCCAGAAGGCUAGGGUCUAUUUG
This is a long non-coding RNA of Alligator mississippiensis (American alligator), 3534 nucleotides long. RefSeq lists it as uncharacterized. NCBI's taxonomy places the organism in Eukaryota, Metazoa, Chordata, Crocodylia, Alligatoridae. The transcript has 3 exons. The record is from RefSeq and is a predicted model, not a curated record.